GCCGUUUGGCGGGGCGGGCCAAUCGGCGCGGCUCUUGCUGGGAGGUGGCGAGGGUGACAUUGGGGGGGUGCGGAGGUGCCAUCAUGCUGGCGUCGCUGGGGCGCUCGGCCGGGCGGCGGCUGCUGCGGGCCGGGAGCGGCGGCACCGGGCUGCGGCGGGCGGGCGGCGGCGUGCACAUCAAGCCGCGGUACCGGCAGUUCCCGGAGCUGACGCGGGCGCAGGUGGUGCGGAGCGAGGUCCUCAGCGGCUUCAUGUGGUUCUGGAUCCUCUGGCACUUCUGGCACAGCUCGGACAUGGUGCUGGGCCACUUCCCCUACCCCGACCCUUCGGCCUGGACGGACGCGGAGCUCGGAAUCCCGCCGGACGACGCGGAAUAGGCGCCCCCGGCAGCGCAGCGCACCGGUACGGCCCCGCCGCCCCUCCCCGCACCGGCCCGGCGGCUGCGGCGGGGCCGGGCUGGGCUUUGAGCGGCGCACGCAGAGCCUGGGUCGCGCUGCAGCCCUGCUUCAGAGCCCCCGGCUCUGCCUGCUGGCCGCCGCCUCUUGGUGCUGCUGGAGGUGCCCCGCUUUCAGCAAUCAUUUGUCCACUUCCAAAGGUCCCUGGAACUAAAGAGGUCCCUGGAACUAAAGCUUUGGCUCCUUGGUCCUUAGUUCAAUAAAAUUUACCUGUAAACAA
Phalacrocorax carbo (great cormorant) is the source of this 675-nucleotide non-coding RNA. The record is from RefSeq and is a predicted model, not a curated record. Lineage: Eukaryota; Metazoa; Chordata; Aves; Suliformes; Phalacrocoracidae.